AUUUUCUGUCUUGUGUUCUAGUAAGGCUGUUUGAAGAGAAAGAAGACAAGCAUUGGGAUUUUGUGUGACCUACUGUGACAGGGUAAGAACUUCCUGUUCACAAAGUACCUCCUUUGGCUCCUGUGGUGUAAAACUACAUGUACCUCCGGCUACAUGGAAAAUAUUGCAAAAUAAUUAAAAUUCAAGAAGCCUGGAUUUAUUUGAAGUAACACCAACAGAGAUUUGGGAUGACUCCAUUAACAGCACUGCAGUCAUGCUGUUACUAAAAGGAUAUCUAAAGGUGAGACAUUCUCUAGGGCCUAGACAGUAAUCUGGGCUACAUUUUUAAGUGGGGAUCAGAUCCUUGCACAUACCUUCCUUGUCUUUCAUGGUUAUUUAAAUUUAGACCAACUUAAUAUGUGGUUCAGUGAUUUUCAUACUCCAAAAGGAAUGAAUUGAAAUAACAGAGUAGGUUUCCUCAGAUAACUGAGGAAAUGUGUGUGUAGGCAUGAUCCAUUUUGUGGUGUUAUUCUGAGUAUAAAAGGAUAAAGUAAAUCUAAACUAUUUUUAGGUCCAAUGAGUCAGUCUAAAUGAGUUGAUGGAAAAAUAUAUAAAUGAAAGGCCAGUCCAGUUAGAGGAAGUUAUGGAGAGUAAUGCUUUUAUAUAAACAUUCUACAGAAUUCAUUUGGCUUUUCAAACUCUGUCUAUAAAUCAAGAAGUGCUUUCCAGUAGCUCAUGGAAACCUCUCAAGUCACAUGGUGCUAGCUAUCUACUUUUAGUUCAAUUCCACUGAAAACAGAAU
This 781-nucleotide long non-coding RNA is filed under the name Cyanistes caeruleus (blue tit). Its description in RNAcentral is "lncRNA (ENSCCEG00000015419.1)". Lineage: Eukaryota; Metazoa; Chordata; Aves; Passeriformes; Paridae. The record is from RNAcentral.